Molecule: non-coding RNA, 563 nt
Organism: Pelodiscus sinensis (Chinese soft-shelled turtle)
Lineage: Eukaryota; Metazoa; Chordata; Testudines; Trionychidae
Source: RefSeq, a predicted model, not a curated record
GAAACCAGCCCAAGAUAAUGAGAUGCGAGCAGCGUUUCGACACCUGUUUAUCCUGAUCGGUAGCUAAACACGGCUCAUUGCGUUUCUCCUUCUGUCCCGGAGGUUGUGUCCUAAACUGGGAUGUUUUCUUCUUUGUCGCGUGUGUGUAGGAGCCCAAGCCGCCUGCGUACCAGCCGUCGCAAUAUGGACCUUGCCUCUAUGAGAUGAAACAGUUCUUGGAAUGUGCUACCAAUCAGAGCGAUCUGACCUUGUGCGAAGGCUUCAACGAGGCGCUGAAGCAGUGCAAAUAUAACAAUGGUGUGUCUUCCCUCCUGUGAAGAAAUUCAGCGCUACCCGCAGGGAAAGGAGAGCCAGAAAAGAAUGGAAGAGCAAGGAAGGAAGAGCUAGUGACCAAAGUAACCGGUGGAAGGGAAGACUAGUCCGGCCGGAGCAAAGAGCCACAUAGAGCUAAUUCGCUUCUAGAAGUGCCAGGAAAGACCGAUGGUUGGAAUUUGAGGCUUUCAGAAUCCAGAUCACAUUUUAAUGCCUAGAUCUAAUAAAAGCAGAUGGUUUAUUUUAAUUGA